RNAcentral lists this ribosomal RNA (497 nucleotides) under uncultured bacterium. Its description in RNAcentral is "partial 16S ribosomal RNA". It matches the Rfam family "Bacterial small subunit ribosomal RNA", at positions 28 to 507 of the family's 1533-position model. The record is from RNAcentral.
GAUGAACGCUGGCGGCGUGCCUAAUACAUGCAAGUCGAGCGAACAGACGAGGAGCUUGCUCCUCUGACUUUAUCGGCGGACGGGUGAGUAACACGUGGAUAACCUACCUAUAAGACUGGGAUAACUUCGGGAAACCGGAGCUAAUACCGGAUAAUAUAUUGAACCGCAUUGUUCAAUUGUUAAAGACGGUUUUUCUUUCUCUUAUAGAUUGAUCCGCGCCGCAUUAGCUAGUUGGUAAGGUAACGGCUUACCAAGGCAACGAUGCGUAGCCGACCUGAGAGGGUGAUCGGCCACACUGGAACUGAGACACGGUACAGACGACUACGGGAGGCAGCAGUAGGGAAUAUUCCGCAAUGGGCGAAAGCGUGACGGAGCAAAGCCGCGUGAGUGAUGAAGGUCUUCGGAUCGUAAAACUCUGUUAUUAGGGAAGAACAAAUGUGUAAGUAAAUAUGCACGUAUUGACGGUAACUAAUCAGAAAGCCACGGCUAACUACGUG